This 229-nucleotide ribosomal RNA is filed under the name uncultured bacterium. Its description in RNAcentral is "partial 16S ribosomal RNA". It matches the Rfam family "Bacterial small subunit ribosomal RNA", at positions 568 to 796 of the family's 1533-position model. The record is from RNAcentral.
UACGUAGGCGGAAAAUUAAGUCAGUAGUGAAAUCCUGCAGCUUAACUGUAGAACUGUUAUUGAUACUGGUUUUCUUGAAUAUAGUUGAGGUAGGCGGAAUGUGUAAUGUAGCGGUGAAAUGCUUAGAUAUUACACAGAACACCGAUUGCGAAGGCAGCUUACUAAACUAUGAUUGACGCUGAGGUACGAAAGCGUGGGGAGCGGACAGGAUUAGAUACCCUGGUAGUCC